Molecule: ribosomal RNA, 904 nt
Filed under: uncultured bacterium
Lineage: Bacteria
Description: bacterial SSU rRNA
Rfam family: Bacterial small subunit ribosomal RNA
Source: RNAcentral
CUGGCUCAGGACGAACGCUGGCGGCGUGCCUAAUACAUGCAAGUCGAACGAAGCUUUCUUUCACCGAAUGCUUGCAUUCACCGAAAGAAGCUUAGUGGCGAACGGGUGAGUAACACGUAGGCAACCUGCCCAAAAGAGGGGGAUAACACUUGGAAACAGGUGCUAAUACCGCAUAACCAUGAACACCGCAUGAUGUUCAUGUAAAAGACGGCUUUUGCUGUCACUUUUGGAUGGGCCUGCGGCGUAUUAACUUGUUGGUGGGGUAACGGCCUACCAAGGUGAUGAUACGUAGCCGAACUGAGAGGUUGAUCGGCCACAUUGGGACUGAGACACGGCCCAAACUCCUACGGGAGGCAGCAGUAGGGAAUCUUCCACAAUGGACGAAAGUCUGAUGGAGCAACGCCGCGUGAAUGAAGAAGGCCUUCGGGUCGUAAAAUUCUGUUGUCAGAGAAGAACGUGCGUGAGAGUAACUGUUCACGUAUUGACGGUAUCUGACCAGAAAGCCACGGCUAACUACGUGCCAGCAGCCGCGGUAAUACGUAGGUGGCGAGCGUUGUCCGGAUUUAUUGGGCGUAAAGGGAACGCAGGCGGUCUUUUAAGUCUGAUGUGAAAGCCUUCGGCUUAACCGAAGUAGUGCAUUGGAAACUGGAAGACUUGAGUGCAGAAGAGGAGAGUGGAACUCCAUGUGUAGCGGUGAAAUGCGUAGAUAUAUGGAAGAACACCAGUGGCGAAAGCGGCUCUCUGGUCUGUAACUGACGCUGAGGUUCGAAAGCGUGGGUAGCAAACAGGAUUAGAUACCCUGGUAGUCCACGCCGUAAACGAUGAGUGCUAAGUGUUGGAGGGUUUCCGCCCUUCAGUGCUGCAGCUAACGCAUUAAGCACUCCGCCUGGGGAGUACGACCGCA